AUUGAACGCUGGCGGCGUGCCUAACACAUGCAAGUCGAGCGGUAACAGGUGUAGCAAUACAUGCUGACGAGCGGCGAACGGGUGAGUAAUGCUUCGGAAUCUGCCCAUGUAGUGGGGAAUAACCAGCCGAAAGGUUGGCUAAUACCGCAUACGACCUACGGGUGAAAGCAGGGGAUCGCAAGACCUUGCGCUAUUGGAUGAGCCGAAGUCGGAUUAGCUUGUUGGUAGGUAACGGCCUACCAAGGCGACGAUCCGUAGCUGAUCUGAGAGGACGACCAGCCACACUGGGACUGAGACACGGCCCAGACUCCUACGGGAGGCAGCAGUGGGGAAUAUUGGACAAUGGGGCAACCCUGAUCCAGCGACGCCGCGUGUGUGAAGAAGGCCUGCGGGUUGUAAAGCACUUUUAGUGGGAUGAAAAGCACACGGCUAAUAUCCGUGUGUCUUGACCUAACC
RNAcentral lists this ribosomal RNA (456 nucleotides) under uncultured bacterium. Its description in RNAcentral is "bacterial SSU rRNA". It matches the Rfam family "Bacterial small subunit ribosomal RNA", at positions 30 to 479 of the family's 1533-position model. The record is from RNAcentral.